GACGAACGCUGGCGGCAUGCCUAAUACAUGCAAGUCGAGCGAACAGAUGAAGUGCUUGCACUUCUGACGUUAGCGGCGAACGGGUGAGUAACACGUAAGGAAUCUACCUAUAAGCGGGGGAUAACAUUCGGAAACGGGUGCUAAUACCGCAUAAUAUCUUCUUCCGUAUGGAAGAAGAUUGAAAGACGGCUCUGCUGUCACUUUUAGAUGACCUUGCGGUGCAUUAGUUAGUUGUUGGGGUAAUGGUAUACCAAGACGAUGAUGCAUAGCCGACCUGAGAGGGUGAUCGGCCACAUUGGGACUGAGACACGGCCCAAACUCCUACGGGAGGCAGCAGUAGGGAAUCUUCCGCGAUGGGCGAAAGCCUGACGGAGCAAUGCCGCGUGAGUGAAGAAGGCCUUCGGGUCGUAAAACUCUGUUAUAAGAGAAGAACAAAUUGUAGAGUAACUGCUACAGUCUUGACGGUAUCUUAUCAGAAAGCCACGGCUAACUACAUGCCAGCAGCCGCUGUAA
This 513-nucleotide ribosomal RNA is filed under the name uncultured bacterium. Its description in RNAcentral is "partial 16S ribosomal RNA". It matches the Rfam family "Bacterial small subunit ribosomal RNA", at positions 28 to 523 of the family's 1533-position model. The record is from RNAcentral.